RNAcentral lists this transfer RNA (85 nucleotides) under Agaricus bisporus var. burnettii JB137-S8. Its description in RNAcentral is "tRNA-Thr". It matches the Rfam family "tRNA". Rfam says of the family: Transfer RNA (tRNA) molecules are approximately 80 nucleotides in length. The record is from RNAcentral. Lineage: Eukaryota; Fungi; Basidiomycota; Agaricomycetes; Agaricales; Agaricaceae. RNAcentral also lists the same sequence under 1 other name.
GCCCGCUUGGCUUAGGGGUAAAGCGUGCCACUCGUAUUAAUCAUACGUAAUGGUAAGAUCAGUCGUUCGAAUCGGCUAGUGGGCA